RNAcentral lists this transfer RNA (69 nucleotides) under Marmota marmota marmota (Alpine marmot). It matches the Rfam family "tRNA". Rfam says of the family: Transfer RNA (tRNA) molecules are approximately 80 nucleotides in length. Their secondary structure includes four short double-helical elements and three loops (D, anti-codon, and T loops). RNAcentral also lists the same sequence under 3 other names. Lineage: Eukaryota; Metazoa; Chordata; Mammalia; Rodentia; Sciuridae. The record is from Rfam by way of RNAcentral.
GGGGUUGUGGCUCAGUAGUAGAGUGCUCGCCUAGCAUGUGUGAGGCCCUGGGUUCAAUCCUCAGCACCA